UUGGCCCAAAAGGCUAAAAUAUCAUCAUCAGCUCAAUCUGCCACUUGAUUUACACAUUACAUGCAAUCAAUCUCUCAGUAUUCCAACCGGCAUGCGUAGCCAUUGAGCUUGAAAUUAACCAAAAUAUAAUAUUAACAAUACCCAAAAUCAAGCUGUUAAUAUAUGAAUAAUUGUCAUGUGAUUUCUGAACCAGAUACAAAACUAAUAAUGCAAAUUGAUAUAUCAUAUAUGUCGCAUUGUUUUGUUAACAAAUCAACGGCGUGCAAAUCUGCAGCGCAGCUACAUUUGCCAGCUAAUUAAGUGAAGUUAAUCUUUGGCAGGCGCAGCAUUGAAGCUCCCCCACUAAUAAUAUGCUUUGUCUCCCUAUGAUCAGCAUCACUUAUUAUGGCAUCAUUACUCAUUUUUUUAACUCUACUCGUUCCAGGACUUUCUCUGAAGAUCCAAACGUUCGGGUACCAACCAAACAGGACAUUAGCUGUCGUGCUGCAACUCCACGGAAGAUUCAGCUUCAUUUUUUAUCUGCACCUGUUAUCGUUCAACACGUGCGGAAUUAAGAUGCUUAACUAUAAAUAUUCCAUCAAACUUAGUCUAACAAAACAAGAAUUGGAAGGAUCAAGGAACCUACGCGGUCGCCUGUCGGUUGAAACUUAUCCGUGUUGUUAUCGCGGGUUAAUCAUUAAUCACGCCAAAGAUUAAUUAGCGUGCGCGGACCAUUUUUCAUGUUCGUUUGAACAAAUAAUAAUAAGAAAAGAUUGCGGCUGAAAAAUAUGUAUACGCGCAUCUUUUUAAUUGUCAAAGUCAGACGGGCCUUCUCAUGCAGAUAGCCUCGAGCACAUAAAUGUGAAGC
This 847-nucleotide long non-coding RNA is filed under the name Citrus sinensis (sweet orange). RNAcentral describes it as "long non-coding RNA (CSIN_LNC003686)". The record is from RNAcentral. Lineage: Eukaryota; Viridiplantae; Streptophyta; Magnoliopsida; Sapindales; Rutaceae.